This 233-nucleotide ribosomal RNA is filed under the name Enterococcus hirae 88-15-E09. Its description in RNAcentral is "partial 16S ribosomal RNA". It matches the Rfam family "Bacterial small subunit ribosomal RNA", at positions 1 to 214 of the family's 1533-position model. Lineage: Bacteria; Bacillati; Bacillota; Bacilli; Lactobacillales; Enterococcaceae. The record is from RNAcentral.
UUUUAUGAGAGUUUGAUCCUGGCUCAGGACGAACGCUGGCGGCGUGCCUAAUACAUGCAAGUCGAACGCUUCUUUUUCCACCGGAGCUUGCUCCACCGGAAAAAGAGGAGUGGCGAACGGGUGAGUAACACGUGGGUAACCUGCCCAUCAGAAGGGGAUAACACUUGGAAACAGGUGCUAAUACCGUAUAACAAUCGAAACCGCAUGGUUUUGAUUUGAAAGGCGCUUUCAGG